AUCGCUUCUCGGCCUUUUGGCUAAGAUCAAGUGUAGUAUCUGUUCUUAUCAGUUAAUCCCAAGAUAAGUGGCGGAGUGAGUGAGUGGAGGAAGGAGUGUGUGCGAAGAUUAACACUCCUUCCCUUCUCGUCUCCCUAGAUAUUUGAAAGAAUUCUCUUUAUCUGGGCCAUCCGACACCCCGC
Molecule: non-coding RNA, 182 nt
Organism: Mesocricetus auratus (golden hamster)
Lineage: Eukaryota; Metazoa; Chordata; Mammalia; Rodentia; Cricetidae
Source: Rfam